AAAAAACACAGAGCCGCGAAACGCCGAGACAGAGAUAGCAAUUUGAUUUUGAGGGUCCUUCACCAUUCUCUUUGAUUUUCGGGUUGUGGCCUACUUCCUCUCAAAAGUUUCUUUGCAGAGAUGAAGUGGAAUACUCUAAUUUCAUCACAGCAAAGACCCCAGCUUCUUUUCCAAUUUCCUCCUUUAGUAACCCACGGAUUAUUUUCUGCUUUCUGUUAUGCACAGCGAAAGACCAAAUCUAUAUAGUUUAGAAGCUGUCUGCAAAUCCCAGCAAUAGCAAAGUGAAAAGGGAAAAGAAAGCUAUGAGUAAUGGACAUAGACAUGAGUUAUUAAAACACUAAACAAUUGUAUCUUUUUGGUGGUUUGCUAUUGGUAAUUCUUUUCUUCACAAUCAUGCUAUUGUUUUCUGUUUUUAAUUUUUAAUUUUUAUAAUAACAAACAUUUAUAACUAAGGCAUUGAAAUAUUUUGUGCACAACAUGUGUUUGAGAAAAUGCCUUGCUUACUCUUGCAUUAGUUUGUAGCCACUUUAUGGUUUGUGCAUCUUGGUUUUAAUUGAUACUGGUUAUUGACUACUUUUUGUUAUGUAUCAAUCAUAAGUUAUGAUGAUACAAAAAAUAUUCUGUUUGUACCCAACGAUCGGAAAAAAAUAUGUUUUGCCAAGUCAUUAAAGGAUGAAGAAACUCUUAGAUGUCAGUUCUGCUAAAUA
Long non-coding RNA from Quercus lobata, 707 nucleotides. RefSeq lists it as uncharacterized. NCBI's taxonomy places the organism in Eukaryota, Viridiplantae, Streptophyta, Magnoliopsida, Fagales, Fagaceae. The record is from RefSeq and is a predicted model, not a curated record. The transcript has 4 exons.